This 253-nucleotide ribosomal RNA is filed under the name uncultured bacterium. RNAcentral's name for it is "partial 16S ribosomal RNA". It matches the Rfam family "Bacterial small subunit ribosomal RNA", at positions 524 to 776 of the family's 1533-position model. The record is from RNAcentral.
UACGUAGGGUGCAAACGUUGCUCGGAAUUAUUGGGCGUAAAGCGCACGUAGGCGGCCUUGUAAGUCGGAUGUGAAAUCCCUCGGCUUAACCGAGGACGUGCAUCCGAAACUGUGAGGCUCGAGUAUGGAAGAGGGUCGCAGAAUUCCCGGUGUAGAGGUGAAAUUCGUAGAUAUCGGGAGGAAUACCAGUGGCGAAGGCGGCGACCUGGGCCAAUACUGACGCUGAGGUGCGAAAGCGUGGGGAGCAAACAGG